AUUGAACGCUGGCGGCAGGCCUAACACAUGCAAGUCGAACGGUAACAGGAAGCAGCUUGCUGCUUCGCUGACGAGUGGCGGACGGGUGAGUAAUGUCUGGGAAACUGCCUGAUGGAGGGGGAUAACUACUGGAAACGGUAGCUAAUACCGCAUAACGUCGCAAGACCAAAGAGGGGGACCUUAGGGCCUCUUGCCAUCGGAUGUGCCCAGAUGGGAUUAGCUAGUAGGUGGGGUAACGGCUCACCUAGGCGACGAUCCCUAGAUGGUCUGAGAGGAUGACCGGCCACACUGGAACUGAGACACGGUCAAGACUCCUACGGGAGGCAGCAGAGGGGAAUAUUGCACAAUGGGCGCAAGCCUGAUGCAGCCAUGCCGCGUGUAUGAAGAAGGCCUUCGGGUUGUAAAGUACUUUCAGCGGGGAGGAAGGGAGUAAAGUUAAUACCUUUGCUCAUUGACGUUACCCGCAGAAGAAGCACCGGCUAACUCCGUG
This 490-nucleotide ribosomal RNA is filed under the name uncultured bacterium. RNAcentral's name for it is "partial 16S ribosomal RNA". It matches the Rfam family "Bacterial small subunit ribosomal RNA", at positions 30 to 507 of the family's 1533-position model. The record is from RNAcentral.